CCUACGGGAGGCAGCAGUGAGGAAUUUUCCGCAAUGGGCUAACGCCUGACGGAGCAAUGCCGCGUGGAGGAGGAAGGCCUGUGGGUCGUAAACUCCUUUUCUCAGAGAAGAAGAUCUGACGGUAUCUGAGGAAUAAGCAUCGGCUAACUCUGUGCCAGCAGCCGCGGUAAUACAGGGGAUGCAAGCGUUAUCCGGAAUUAUUGGGCGUAAAGCGUCCUGAGGUGGCUUACCCAGUCGACUGUGAAAGCUCAAGGCUCAACCUUGAAACGGCAGUCGAAACUUGUAAGCUUGAGUACGGUAGAGGCAGAGGGAAUUCCCGGAGGAGAGGUGAAAUUCGUAGAUAUCGGGAGGAAGGCCAAAGGCGAAAGCACUCUGCUGGGCCGAUUACUGACACUGACAGACGAAAGCUAGGGGAGCGAAAGGGAUUAGAUACCCUGUAGUCCUAGCCGUAAACGAUGGAUACUAAGUGUUGCGCGACUCAACUCGUGCAGUGCUGCAGCUAACGCGGUAAGUAUCCCGCCUGGGGAGUAGUGCUCGCAAGAGUGAAACUUAAAUGAAAUUGACGGCUUGAGACUUACCAAGGCACACAGGGGAUUAGGG
Molecule: ribosomal RNA, 600 nt
Filed under: uncultured bacterium
Lineage: Bacteria
Description: bacterial SSU rRNA
Rfam family: Bacterial small subunit ribosomal RNA
Source: RNAcentral